CACGUAGGAGACAAGCGUUAUUCGGAUUUACUGGGCGUAAAGCGCGUGCAGGCGGUCUGACAAGUUGGAUGUGAAAGCUCCUGGCUUAACUGGGAGAGGUCGUUCAAAACUAUCAGACUAGAGAGUGGUAGAGGAAGGCGGAAUUCCGGGUGUAGUGGUGAAAUGCGUAGAUAUCCGGAGGAACACCAGUGGCGAAAGCGGCCUUCUGGACCAAUUCUGACGCUCAGACGCGAAAGCUAGGGUAGCGAACGGGAUUAGAAACCCCAGUAGUCC
Molecule: ribosomal RNA, 273 nt
Filed under: uncultured prokaryote
Description: partial 16S ribosomal RNA
Rfam family: Bacterial small subunit ribosomal RNA
Source: RNAcentral